This 71-nucleotide transfer RNA is filed under the name Vespa crabro (European hornet). RNAcentral describes it as "tRNA-Leu". Lineage: Eukaryota; Metazoa; Arthropoda; Insecta; Hymenoptera; Vespidae. The record is from RNAcentral.
AUUAUAUUGGCAGAUUAGUGCAUUAAAUUUAGAAUUUGAUUAAGUAAAUUAUUAAAAAUUUAUAUAUAAUA